UCCCACAUCGAUUGUGGGUCAAGGAGGACUCUCACUUAUAAGGAGGCGAUCAUCCUUCUCACGUAAGGCACCUUUUAAAAGGUAAAAUCGUAAGGCCCAUAGGCUAGAGUGGACAAUACUUUAUGUGCAGGAUCGAGCCCUUGACCGCAAUAAUGACGUGCCGAGAAGGGGUCAAAGUCUGCUUCGAAUCUUUGGAGCCG
This 200-nucleotide long non-coding RNA is filed under the name Elaeis guineensis (African oil palm). RNAcentral's name for it is "long non-coding RNA (EGUI_LNC006860)". The record is from RNAcentral. Lineage: Eukaryota; Viridiplantae; Streptophyta; Magnoliopsida; Arecales; Arecaceae.